This 301-nucleotide ribosomal RNA is filed under the name uncultured bacterium. Its description in RNAcentral is "partial 16S ribosomal RNA". It matches the Rfam family "Bacterial small subunit ribosomal RNA", at positions 509 to 807 of the family's 1533-position model. The record is from RNAcentral.
CAGUAGCCGCGGUAAUGCGUAGGUGGCAAGCGUUGUCCGGAAUUAUUGGGCGUAAAGGGCUCGCAGGCGGUUUCUUAAGUCUGAUGUGAAAGCCCCCGGCUCAACCGGGGGGGGUCAUUGGAAACUGGGAAACUUGAGUGCAGAAGAGGAGAGUGGAAUUCCACGUGUAGCGGUGAAAUGCGUAGAGAUGUGGAGGAACACCAGUGGCGAAGGCGACUCUCUGGUCUGUAACUGACGCUGAGGAGCGAAAGCGUGGGGAGCGAACAGGAUUAGAUACCCCGGUAGUCCCUGUCUCUUAUAC